CUCUGAGAUGGCCUCGCGUCUGAUUAGGUAGUAGGCGGGGUAACGGCCCACCUAGCCGACGAUGGAUAGGGGUUCUGAGAGGAAGGUCCCCCACAUUGGAACUGAGACACGGUCCAAACUCCUACGGGAGGCAGCAGUGAGGAAUAUUGGUCAAUGGGCGAGAGCCUGAACCAGCCAAGUAGCGUGAAGGAUGAAGGUCCUACGGAUUGUAAACUUCUUUUAUACGGGAAUAAAGUAUCCUACGUGUAGGAUUUUGUAUGUACCGUAUGAAUAGGCAUCGGCUAACUCCGUGCCAGCAGCCGCGGUAAUACGGAGGAUGCGAGCGUUAUCC
This 331-nucleotide ribosomal RNA is filed under the name uncultured bacterium. Its description in RNAcentral is "bacterial SSU rRNA". It matches the Rfam family "Bacterial small subunit ribosomal RNA", at positions 218 to 546 of the family's 1533-position model. The record is from RNAcentral.